ACGUAGGUAACCUGCCCCGGAGCGGGGGAUAACAUUUGGAAACAGAUGCUAAUACCGCAUAACAACAAAAGCCACAUGGCUUUUGUUUGAAAGAUGGCUUUGGCUAUCACUCUGGGAUGGACCUGCGGUGCAUUAGCUAGUUGGUAAGGUAACGGCUUACCAAGGCGAUGAUGCAUAGCCGAGUUGAGAGACUGAUCGGCCACAAUGGAACUGAGACACGGUCCAUACUCCUACGGGAGGCAGCAGUAGGGAAUCUUCCACAAUGGGCGCAAGCCUGAUGGAGCAACACCGCGUGAGUGAAGAAGGGUUUCGGCUCGUAAAGCUCUGUUGUUGGAGAAGAACGUGCGUGAGAGUAACUGUUCACGCAGUGACGGUAUCCAACCAGAAAGUCACGGCUAACUACGUGCCAGCAGCCGCGGUAAUACGUAGGUGGCAAGCGUUAUCCGGAUUUAUUGGGCGUAAAGCGAGCGCAGGCGGUUGCUUAGGUCUGAUGUGAAAGCCUUCGGCUUAACCGAAGAAGUGCAUCGGAAACCGGGCGACUUGAGUGCAGAAGAGGACAGUGGAACUCCAUGUGUAGCGGUGGAAUGC
RNAcentral lists this ribosomal RNA (588 nucleotides) under Limosilactobacillus reuteri. Its description in RNAcentral is "bacterial SSU rRNA". It matches the Rfam family "Bacterial small subunit ribosomal RNA", at positions 115 to 689 of the family's 1533-position model. The record is from RNAcentral. Lineage: Bacteria; Bacillati; Bacillota; Bacilli; Lactobacillales; Lactobacillaceae.